RNAcentral lists this ribosomal RNA (429 nucleotides) under uncultured bacterium. RNAcentral's name for it is "bacterial SSU rRNA". It matches the Rfam family "Bacterial small subunit ribosomal RNA", at positions 28 to 454 of the family's 1533-position model. The record is from RNAcentral.
GAUGAACGCUGGCGGCGUGCUUAACACAUGCAAGUCGAACGGGAUCGGCUGGAGCUUGCUCCGGCCGUGAGAGUGGCGAACGGGUGAGUAAUGCGUGACCGACCUGCCCCAUACACCGGAAUAGCUCCUGGAAACGGGUGGUAAUGCCGGAUGCUCCGACAUGACGCAUGUCGUGUUGGGAAAGAUUCAUCGGUAUGGGAUGGGGUCGCGUCCUAUCAGGUAGUCGGCGGGGUAACGGCCCACCGAGCCUACGACGGGUAGCCGGCCUGAGAGGGCGACCGGCCACAUUGGGACUGAGAUACGGCCCAGACUCCUACGGGAGGCAGCAGUGGGGAAUAUUGCACAAUGGGCGCAAGCCUGAUGCAGCGACGCCGCGUGCGGGAUGACGGCCUUCGGGUUGUAAACCGCUUUUGACUGGGAGCAAGCCCU